Molecule: ribosomal RNA, 503 nt
Filed under: uncultured bacterium
Lineage: Bacteria
Description: bacterial SSU rRNA
Rfam family: Bacterial small subunit ribosomal RNA
Source: RNAcentral
AACGAACGCUGGCGGCGCGCCUAACACAUGCAAGUCGAACGAGAAUCCGGGGCAACCCGGUAGUAAAGUGGCAAACGGGUGAGGAAUACAUGGGUAACCUACCCUUGAGAAGGGAAUAACCCGCCGAAAGGUGAGCUAAUACCCUAUACGCUAUCUUUUUUUCGAAAAGGAUAGGAAAGCCGGGUCGAGGACCUGGUACUCAAGGAGGGGCUCAUGUCCUAUCAGCUUGUUGGUGGGGUAACGGCCUACCAAGGCUACGACGGGUAGCUGGUCUGAGAGGAUGAUCAGCCACACUGGCACUGAGAUACGGGCCAGACUCCUACGGGAGGCAGCAGUGAGGAAUAUUGCGCAAUGGGCGAAAGCCUGACGCAGCGACGCCGCGUGGGGGAUGAAGGUUUUCGGAUUGUAAACCCCUUUCAUGAGGAAAGAUAAAGUGGGUAACCACUUAGACGGUACCUCAAGAAGAAGCCACGGCUAACUUCGUGCCAGCAGCCGCGGUAAAG